This 231-nucleotide long non-coding RNA is filed under the name Elaeis guineensis (African oil palm). Its description in RNAcentral is "long non-coding RNA (EGUI_LNC012025)". The record is from RNAcentral. Lineage: Eukaryota; Viridiplantae; Streptophyta; Magnoliopsida; Arecales; Arecaceae.
CCCAUGCUAAUUAGAUCAGUUAUUUGAUGACUGAUUAGAUAAAAUCUGAAUCAAAUCUCUCCAUAAAUAUUAAGCCUAUCGGUCUUCCACCAGGAAUCUGCAGAUGGAGGGAAUAAAAUAUUGAGCCCAAAACCUUUCAAGGUCAUGCUUAAUAAUGAUUGACUCCUCGUUAUCUGACUCUCAGAAGUCUCCUAACCUACAAACAAGACUAUCCGAGUGCAUAGAGUCAAA